CAGCAGCCACGGGAAUACGUAGGGUGCAAGCGUUAAUCGGAAUUACUGGGCGUAAAGCGUGCGCAGGCGGUUUUGUAAGACAGAGGUGAAAUCCCCGGGCUCAACCUGGGAACUGCCUUUGUGACUGCAAGGCUAGAGUACGGCAGAGGGGGAUGGAAUUCCGCGUGUAGCAGUGAAAUGCGUAGAUAUGCGGAGGAACACCGAUGGCGAAGGCGAUCCCCUGGGCCUGUACUGACGCUCAUGCACGAAAGCGUGGGGAGCAAACAGGAUUAGAUACCCCCGUAGUCCCUGUCUCUUAUAU
RNAcentral lists this ribosomal RNA (301 nucleotides) under uncultured bacterium. RNAcentral's name for it is "partial 16S ribosomal RNA". It matches the Rfam family "Bacterial small subunit ribosomal RNA", at positions 509 to 809 of the family's 1533-position model. The record is from RNAcentral.